RNAcentral lists this microRNA (22 nucleotides) under Caenorhabditis elegans. RNAcentral's name for it is "cel-miR-35-3p". Its record names the gene cel-miR-35-3p. The record is from miRBase by way of RNAcentral. Lineage: Eukaryota; Metazoa; Nematoda; Chromadorea; Rhabditida; Rhabditidae.
UCACCGGGUGGAAACUAGCAGU